UUUAUAUUGUAACUGGGAUUAGGUUUUUUUGUUGCGGUGAAGUCCAUGUUUGUAAUAAUCUAUAGAUUUAUUUUUUUUUUUUUCUUUUGUUUUUUUUUAGUUUUGUUUUUUAUAUUAUUUAUUGGGUGGGGUGUGUGGUGUGUGUUGUUUUUUUUUUUUUUUUUUUUUUUUUUUAUUUCUUUUUUCUUUUUUUUUUUCGAUAUUAUUUUUUUUUUUUUUUUUUUUUUUUUUUUUUUUUAUUUUUUUUUUUUUUUUUUUUUUUUUUUUUUUUUUUUUUUUUUCGAUUUUCUCUCUCCUCCUCGCUCUCCCCUCUCUCCCCCCCUUGUGCGCAGUUUUUUUUAUUCCUUCAUGUUUGGGCGUUU
RNAcentral lists this long non-coding RNA (362 nucleotides) under Monodelphis domestica (gray short-tailed opossum). RNAcentral describes it as "lncRNA (ENSMODG00000044385.1)". Lineage: Eukaryota; Metazoa; Chordata; Mammalia; Didelphimorphia; Didelphidae. The record is from RNAcentral.